This 459-nucleotide ribosomal RNA is filed under the name uncultured bacterium. RNAcentral describes it as "partial 16S ribosomal RNA". It matches the Rfam family "Bacterial small subunit ribosomal RNA", at positions 339 to 795 of the family's 1533-position model. The record is from RNAcentral.
CUACGGGUUGCUGCAGUGAGGUAUAUUGGUCAAUGGGCGAGAGCCUGAACCAGCCAUCCCGCGUGCAGGAAGACGGCCCUAUGGGUUGUAAACUGCUUUUCCAUACCAAGAAACCUGAUUACGUGUAAUUAGUUGCCGGUAGUAUGGGAAUAAGCAUCGGCUAACUCCGUGCCAGCAGCCGCGGUAAUACGGAGGGUCCAAGCGUUAUCCGGAAUCAUUGGGUUUAAAGGGUCCGUAGGCGGGCUAUUAAGUCAGAGGUGAAAGUUUGCAGCUCAACUGUAAAAUUGCCUUUGAUACUGAUAGUCUUGAAUUGUAGUGAAGUGGUUAGAAUAUGUGGUGUAGCGGUGAAAUGCAUAGAUAUCACAUAGAAUACCGAUUGCGAAGGCAGAUCACUAACUAUAUAUUGACGCUGAGGGACGAAAGCGUGGGGAGCGAACGGGAUUAGAUACCCUGGUAGUC